GACGAACGCUGGCGGCGUGCUUAACACAUGCAAGUCGAACGGUGAAGCGCCUUCCUUUUUGGUGGGUGUGGAUGAGUGGCGAACGGGUGAGUAACACGUGAGUAACCUGCCCCCUUCUUCUGGAUAACCGCAUGAAAGUGUGGCUAAUACGGGAUAUUCUGGGUCUGUCGCAUGAUGGGUCUGGGAAAGAUAUUGUUUCGGUGGGGGAUGGGCUCGCGGCCUAUCAGCUUGUUGGUGGGGUGAUGGCCUACCCAGGCGGUGACGGGUAGCCGGCCUGGGAGGGUGGACGGUCACACUGGGACUGAGGCACGGCCCAGACUGGUACGGGACGCAGCAGUGGGGAAUAGUGGACGAUGGGCGCAAGCCUGAUGCAGCGACGCCGCGUGAGGGAUGGAGGCCUUCGGGUUGUGAACCUCUUUCGCCAGUGAAGCAGGGCUGCCUCGUUUGUGGGUGGGUUGACGGUAGCUGGAGAAGAAGCGCCGGCUAACUACGUG
RNAcentral lists this ribosomal RNA (494 nucleotides) under uncultured bacterium. RNAcentral's name for it is "partial 16S ribosomal RNA". It matches the Rfam family "Bacterial small subunit ribosomal RNA", at positions 28 to 507 of the family's 1533-position model. The record is from RNAcentral.